GAUGCAAUCGGCCCGGAAAGGAGGAGAGCUAGGCGAGCGCGGACUGGGGCAGCCACGCCACUCCGCCUGAAGGUCGCCAGGAGCCUCCGCCCUUCACCUUCCUCGGAAAUCCGCCAGGCCACGCCAAGCUCCCUGCCCAGCCCUCACUGGCGGGGGCCACAUUUUCCCGGCCUCCGCAGCCAGACCUUGACACAAAGGACAUCAAACUGCCGAGGGUAAAAACCCCGGAAGGGCGGACACCUCCACAUCGCCUUUUGCCACCUUUCCCUUUAUUUCCGGAGCAAGUUUAUUUCUGAUCGUGAAAGUAGAAGAAGUCUCACAAACAGCCAUUUGGAAAAAAAGAAGUGUGAUGAGUAUAUUCCAGGUACAACCUCCUUAGGCAUGUCUGUUUUUAACCUAAGCAAUGCCAUUAUGGGCAGUGGGAUUUUGGGACUCGCCUUUGCCCUGGCAAACACUGGAAUCCUACUUUUUCUGGUACUUUUGACUUCAGUGACAUUGCUGUCUAUAUAUUCAAUAAACCUCCUAUUGAUCUGUUCAAAAGAAACAGGCUGCAUGGUGUAUGAAAAGCUGGGGGAACAAGUCUUUG
This 586-nucleotide small RNA is filed under the name Pan troglodytes (chimpanzee). RNAcentral describes it as "processed transcript". Lineage: Eukaryota; Metazoa; Chordata; Mammalia; Primates; Hominidae. The record is from RNAcentral.